GCAGCCAUGCCGCGUGUAUGAAGAAGGCCUUCGGGUUGUAAAGUACUUUCAGCAGUGAGGAAGGGGGUGUCGUUAAUAGCGGCAUUUCUUGACGUUAGCUGCAGAAGAAGCACCGGCUAACUCCGUGCCAGCAGCCGCGGUAAUACGGAGGGUGCGAGCGUUAAUCGGAAUUACUGGGCGUAAAGCGCAUGCAGGUGGUUUGUUAAGUCAGAUGUGAAAGCCCGGGGCUCAACCUCGGAACUGCAUUUGAAACUGGCAAACUAGAGUACUGUAGAGGGGGGUAGAAUUUCAGGUGUAGCGGUGAAAUGCGUAGAGAUCUGAAGGAAUACCAGUGGCGAAGGCGGCCCCCUGGACAGAUACUGACACUCAGAUGCGAAAGCGUGGGGAGCAAACAGGAUUAGAUACCCUGGUAGUCCACGCCGUAAACGAUGUCUACUUGGAGGUUGUGGCCUUGAGCCGUGGCUUUCGGAGCUAACGCGUUAAGUAGACCGCCUGGGGAGUACGGUCGCAAGAUUAAAACUCAAAUGAAUUGACGGGGGCCCGCACAAGCGGUGGAGCAUGUGGUUUAAUUCGAUGCAACGCGAAGAACCUUACCUACUCUUGACAUCCAGAGA
RNAcentral lists this ribosomal RNA (614 nucleotides) under Vibrio sp. Its description in RNAcentral is "bacterial SSU rRNA". It matches the Rfam family "Bacterial small subunit ribosomal RNA", at positions 388 to 994 of the family's 1533-position model. Lineage: Bacteria; Pseudomonadati; Pseudomonadota; Gammaproteobacteria; Vibrionales; Vibrionaceae. The record is from RNAcentral.